GAAGAUCCAGAAGCAGGGGUGCACAAAAUAAAGGCUACUAAAUCCUCUCCCAAGGUUAAAAUCACCAGGCCAUUUAAAAAAAUGUAAUCUUGAGUACUUUCUAAAUGACAUGGAACUUUUAAGCUACAGGAACAGGAAAAAGGAAACAAUGAACUGACACUGCCCUCAGGGAAAGGCAGUGUUAUAUAGCUGAAUAACGAGCAGCCAAUUGGCAAGAUUUAUCUGCUGAGUGCUGAUGGAGAUUGUUGAAAUCAAGCCCUCCAACCCCCACCCCACAAAAGUAUAAAACCCUACAAUUGCAAUACUCCCAAACAAAGAUAAUGUCC
Molecule: non-coding RNA, 326 nt
Organism: Pelobates cultripes (western spadefoot toad)
Lineage: Eukaryota; Metazoa; Chordata; Amphibia; Anura; Pelobatidae
Source: the annotation of a GenBank genome assembly